RNAcentral lists this long non-coding RNA (610 nucleotides) under Populus trichocarpa (black cottonwood). RNAcentral's name for it is "long non-coding RNA (PTRI_LNC000428)". The record is from RNAcentral. Lineage: Eukaryota; Viridiplantae; Streptophyta; Magnoliopsida; Malpighiales; Salicaceae.
UAUGUAUUAAAAACCUCAAUUUUUAAGUAGGCAGUGAAAUAAACAGCAAGAAAAUAGAUUUAUAUAAGGUGAUCAUGAUCGACUAUGAAGAACCAUGAAUUUUCUGAUUUAAUUUUAUUCAUGAAAACCUACCCCAAAUGAAAAACUGGGUUUAAAAUAUUAUUUGUGCAUUUGUUUUGUAAUUGCAGGUGUAUUUCUGAUCUUUUCUUUUCAUAAUUAAGUGGAUUUUUUUCUUGAAUUUUCCAGGCGAAAUCGGGUUAUGGCUGUAAUUCCAGCAUUCUCUCCAGCUCCAUUCAUGAUUUAGUGGCCAUGAUUUUCCAUUCAAUUAAGACUUUGAUUGGAUGCUUGCAUGUAGAUAUAAUAUAUAAUAAGUAGGGAAGUAAAUCUUGUAAAAGCUUCUCAGCUUUGUUAUCAAGUCGAGGGUUCUUAAUUGCAAGUGUAAGUUCUCCUGAAGUUGUCUUCUUCUUCAAUCCCCCCUCCCAGGAGGAUGUCAAGCUUCAUGUGUUGUAAUUAUUAUAUAUGUAUUAAAAGGAAAUGCUGUUUUAUCGUAGAAAUUGUAUAAUUAUAAAUUUUGCUAAUUGUUUUUACUGGUGGUGAUAAAAUUAUAAUU